GUCUGGUGCCAGCAGCCGCGGUAAGACGGAGGAUGCAAGCGUUAUCCGGAAUUAUUGGGCGUAAAGCGUCCGUAGGUGGUUUUACAAGUCAGUUGUUAAAGCCCACAGCUCAACUGUGGAUGGGCAAUUGAAACUGUAAGACUUGAGUGUGGUAGGGGUAGAGGGAAUUCCUAGUGUAGCGGUGAAAUGCGUAGAUAUUAGGAAGAACACCAGUGGCGAAGGCGCUCUACUGGGCCAUAACUGACACUGAUGGACGAAAGCUAGGGGAGCGAAAGGGAUUAGAUACCCCUGUAGUCCUAGCUGUAAACGAUGGACACUAGGUGUUGGCCGUAUCGACCCGGUCAGUAUCGAAGCAAACGCGUUAAGUGUCCCGCCUGGGGAGUACGCACGCAAGUGUGAAACUCAAAGGAAUUGACGGGGGCCCGCACAAGCGGUGGAGUAUGUGGUUUAAUUCGAUGCAACGCGAAGAACCUUACCAGGGAUUGACAUCCUACGAACUUCUGAGAAAUCAGUUGGUGCCUUCGGGAGCGUAGAGACAGGUGGUGCAUGGCCGUUCUU
This 558-nucleotide ribosomal RNA is filed under the name uncultured Leptolyngbya sp. RNAcentral describes it as "bacterial SSU rRNA". It matches the Rfam family "Bacterial small subunit ribosomal RNA", at positions 501 to 1056 of the family's 1533-position model. The record is from RNAcentral. Lineage: Bacteria; Bacillati; Cyanobacteriota; Cyanophyceae; Leptolyngbyales; Leptolyngbyaceae.